RNAcentral lists this ribosomal RNA (130 nucleotides) under uncultured bacterium. RNAcentral describes it as "partial 16S ribosomal RNA". The record is from RNAcentral.
CCGAUGCUUAUUCUUCAGGUACACGUCAUUGAUUCCUCCCUGAAAAAAAGAGGUUUACAACCCAUAGGCCGUCAUCCCUCACGCGGUAUUGCUCCGUCAGGCUUUCGCCCAUUGCGGAAAAAUUCCCCCA